UACGUAGGGUGCAAGCGUUAAUCGGAAUUACUGGGCGUAAAGCGUGCGCAGGCGGUUGUGCAAGACAGAGGUGAAAUCCCCGGGCUUAACCUGGGAACGGCCUUUGUGACUGCACGGCUAGAGUGUGUCAGAGGGGGGUAGAAUUCCACGUGUAGCAGUGAAAUGCGUAGAGAUGUGGAGGAAUACCGAUGGCGAAGGCAGCCCCCUGGGAUAACACUGACGCUCAUGCACGAAAGCGCGGGGAGCGAACAGG
This 253-nucleotide ribosomal RNA is filed under the name uncultured bacterium. RNAcentral's name for it is "partial 16S ribosomal RNA". It matches the Rfam family "Bacterial small subunit ribosomal RNA", at positions 524 to 776 of the family's 1533-position model. The record is from RNAcentral.